RNAcentral lists this ribosomal RNA (118 nucleotides) under Carlito syrichta (Philippine tarsier). Lineage: Eukaryota; Metazoa; Chordata; Mammalia; Primates; Tarsiidae. The record is from RNAcentral.
AUCGACGGCCUUACCACCCUGACGCGCCAGAUCUCCUCUGAUCUCCGAAGCUAAGCAGGGUGGGGCCUGGUCAGUACUCGGAUGGGAGACCGCCUGGGAAGACCGGGUGCCGCAGGCU